CUACGGGAGGCAGCAGUGAGGAAUAUUGGACAAUGGGCGAAAGCCUGAUCCAGCAAUGCCGCGUGAGUGAUGAAGGCCUUAGGGUUGUAAAGCUCUUUUACCCGGGAUGAUAAUGACAGUACCGGGAGAAUAAGCUCCGGCUAACUCCGUGCCAGCAGCCGCGGUAAUACGGAGGGAGCUAGCGUUGUUCGGAAUUACUGGGCGUAAAGCGUGCGUAGGCGGCGAUUCAAGUCAGAGGUGAAAGCCUGGAGCUCAACUCCAGAACUGCCUUUGAAACUAGAUUGCUAGAAUGUCGGAGAGGUGAGUGGAAUUCCGAGUGUAGAGGUGAAAUUCGUAGAUAUUCGGAAGAACACCAGUGGCGAAGGCGGCUCACUGGACGACUAUUGACGCUGAGGCACGAAAGCGUGGGGAGCAAACAGGAUUAGAUACCCGGGUAGUCCU
RNAcentral lists this ribosomal RNA (441 nucleotides) under uncultured bacterium. RNAcentral describes it as "bacterial SSU rRNA". It matches the Rfam family "Bacterial small subunit ribosomal RNA", at positions 339 to 797 of the family's 1533-position model. The record is from RNAcentral.